Vigna unguiculata (cowpea) is the source of this 594-nucleotide long non-coding RNA. Lineage: Eukaryota; Viridiplantae; Streptophyta; Magnoliopsida; Fabales; Fabaceae. The record is from RefSeq and is a predicted model, not a curated record.
CGAAACCAAUUUGAAGUUUAUGCAUGAAUUGUUGUAGAGGGGAGAGUCAUUGUAGCUGCAAGUGUUUGUGGGGUUUUGGUGUUUGGAUGUCCACGAGUUUUCUCAGUUGAAGGUGUGGUGGAUGAAGGAUAUGGCGUUAUUGGACAGAGCAUACUUUUGCUUAGGAAUACUUCGCCUAACGUGUUGCAAGUUCUUCGUAUAUUUAAGGAGCAAGGUUUGGUGCUUGUAGUUCUUUUGGACCUUUUCAGCCUUUUUGUCAAUGACAGAGACUUCAAUCACCACACUUUGGCCUUGGAAGGUCAGGCCAGUGGCAUGGCGUUCCCUGGUGUUGUAUCCUGUAAGAAGAAUUGUUACUCAUCUUUCAAUGGGGAUGCUGAAAUUGCUUGGCCUAAAAGAAAGAAAGUCUGCUGAAAAGAUAUCCAAAGAUUAUCAUACUCUUAUCUUUUUCUUUUGCUUCUUUAUGGAUGCUUUGUGAAAUCUAACUUUUAUCAGAAGCUAAAUCUUAGUUCCUUCAUCUCAAAGAUGAUUCUUCUUUUAUGUUCAUCCAAACUCUUUCAUAACUGUUCAUUUUCUAAGGUUAAGUUUUUUCCUCAA